This 261-nucleotide ribosomal RNA is filed under the name uncultured bacterium. RNAcentral's name for it is "partial 16S ribosomal RNA". It matches the Rfam family "Bacterial small subunit ribosomal RNA", at positions 527 to 789 of the family's 1533-position model. The record is from RNAcentral.
GGAAGGUGCAAGCGUUAAUCGGAAUUACUGGGCGUAAAGCGCGCGUAGGUGGUUUGUUAAGUUGGAUGUGAAAGCCCUGGGCUCAACCUAGGAACUGCAUCCAAAACUAACUCACUAGAGUACGAUAGAGGGAGGUAGAAUUCAUAGUGUAGCGUGGAAUGCGUAGAUAUUAUGGAGAAUACCAGUGGCGAAGGCGCCUCCUGGAUCUGUACUGACACUAAGGUGCGAAACGUGGGUAGCCAACAUGGAUUAGAUACCCUG